Molecule: long non-coding RNA, 351 nt
Filed under: Prunus persica (peach)
Lineage: Eukaryota; Viridiplantae; Streptophyta; Magnoliopsida; Rosales; Rosaceae
Description: long non-coding RNA (PPER_LNC002245)
Source: RNAcentral
UACAUCCCCAAAGAUCAGCUAGGUCUUUCACAAGGUGUGUAAUGUAAGACUUAGGUCAGGGGAUAUGAAAGAAAGGAUAGGAAAUACUAAAGCUUGGGACAUACCAAAGUGUCUUCCUUGUGAAAGCAGCAAGCUCUCCUCUUGAAUUAAUCUUUGUUGUUUGUUCGUGGCAUCCAGGACCUGUGCGAUAAUGGAAGGAUUUAGAAAUUACAUCCUCAUUGAUCUUUUUCUUUUCUUUUCUUUUUCUAAAACUUUGUUUCUUUUUUCUUUCUUUUUUUCUACAAUUCCAGCACACAUACCUUGGUACAUACCACUUUCUUGAUGUAGAGCUCGAAUUAUCUUUGUCUUCAU